This 510-nucleotide ribosomal RNA is filed under the name Drosophila nr. perissopoda 2 RL-2010. RNAcentral's name for it is "partial 16S ribosomal RNA". It matches the Rfam family "Bacterial large subunit ribosomal RNA", at positions 1825 to 2597 of the family's 2925-position model. Lineage: Eukaryota; Metazoa; Arthropoda; Insecta; Diptera; Drosophilidae. The record is from RNAcentral. RNAcentral also lists the same sequence under 1 other name.
GUCUUUUUGAAUUAAAUUUAAAGUCUAACCUGCCCACUGAAAAUUUUAAAUGGCCGCAGUAUUCUAACUGUGCAAAGGUAGCAUAAUCAUUAGUCUUUUAAUUGAAGGCUGGAAUGAAUGGUUGGACGAAAUAUUAACUGUUUCAUUUAAAUUUUUUAUAGAAUUUUAUUUUUUAGUCAAAAAGCUAAAAUAAAUUUAAAAGACGAGAAGACCCUAUAAAUCUUUAUAUUUUGUUUAUUUUAAUUAUAAAGAUUAUUUUUAUUAUAAUAAAUUAAAAUAUUUUAUUGGGGUGAUAUUAAAAUUUAAAAAACUUUUAAUUUUUAAAACCAUUAAUUUAUGAGUAAUUGAUCCAUUAAUAAUGAUUAAAAAUUUAAGUUACUUUAGGGAUAACAGCGUAAUUUUUUUGGAGAGUUCAUAUCGAUAAAAAAGAUUGCGACCUCGAUGUUGGAUUAAGAUAUAAUUUUGGGUGUAGCCGUUCAAAUUUUAAGUCUGUUCGACUUUUAAAUUCUU